This is a long non-coding RNA of Brassica rapa (field mustard), 15136 nucleotides long. RefSeq lists it as uncharacterized. Lineage: Eukaryota; Viridiplantae; Streptophyta; Magnoliopsida; Brassicales; Brassicaceae. The record is from RefSeq and is a predicted model, not a curated record.
AACCUUAAAACCCUAAACUUUCAAAUCUAAACCCUAAAACAUCAACUCUAGGGUUUUAGGGUUUAGGGUUUAGAGUUGAAGGUUUAGGGUUUAGGGUUUAGAGUUGAUGUUUUAGGGUUUAGGGUUAAUUUUUAGGGUUUAGAGUUGAUGUUUUAGGGUUUAGGGUUAAUUUUUACGGUUUAGGGUUUAGAGUUUACUCUUUAGGGUUUAGGGUUUAGUGUUGAUAGUUUAGGGUUUAGUGUUGAUGAUUUAGGGUGUAGAGGUGAAGUUUAGGGUUUUGGGUUUAGAGUUGAUGUUUUAGGUUUUAGAGUUGAAGGUUUAGGGUUUAGGGUUUAGAGUUAAAGUUUCGGGGUUUAGGGUUUAGAGUUGUUGUUUCAGGGUUUAGGGUUCGUAUUUAUAAAAAUAUAGGGUUUAGGAUUGAUGGUUUAGGGUUUAGAAUUGAGUUUUAGGGUUUAGUGUUUGAAUUUCGAAAUAUGGUUUAAUGGCUUAGGGUUUAAAAUUAUUUUUUAUUUUUUUAGAAUUUUUAUUUAUUUAAAUAUUUAUUUAUUAUUUUAAUAUUUAUUUAUUAUAUACAUAAGAGUCUUUUAUCAUUUAAUGAAUAAAAUGUUUUUGAAAAUGUCCAUUUAGUAAUGGUAAAAAUGAAAUGUGGUAUCAUGAAAGUGGUAAACAAAAAAUUUUCCCUAUAAAGAGACAAAUGACGUCAGUUAACUCAUAUACAACUCUUGUUUUUCUUCCUAUUCAACUCAUAAGCCACAUAAAAGGAAUAACCAUGAUUGAUACUCCGGUUUGAGUGAUCAUAAUGGAAAAAACAGAAUCACUUUUAGAGAUGAACGAAGGUUAAAACAAAUAACUUGAUUUACCACCAAAGUAAUGAAUUUAUUGAUACUAUAAUGUUGGGACUUUGAAAUUUUAUUAAUGUAUAUAAAUAUUAAUUUACAAAAGUUUCCUUAUUUAGAUUUCUUAUUUUAAGAUAUAUUUAUUCUGAGAUAAGAAAAAUAUUUGAUUUUAGUGUAUAGACAUUAAUUGUUAUUUUUUGAAAUUUGACAUUUAUAUUAAUUUUAUUAUAUUGUUUGGUGUAUAUAAUAUAUUUAUUACAUAGAACUUAAAUGUGGUUUUAGAUAUAAUAUAGAGAAUUUGACAAAUAUGACUCAAAACUUGACUUUGAUUGCAAAAGUAUACCCAAACUUGAAUCAAAUGCAAAAGUAACCUAAAAACCUUGUAAAAUUACAGCCAGUCCCUUGUGACCAAACAAAAAAACAUAACUCAUUUUUAUGAAUAUAGCCCCGAUAAGUCUUCUAAGAUUCUGUUAAGUCUUCUGGACAACGUCCACGGAAGUCGUAUGAUAUAGUUGAUCUUAAAAAUAAUUGAUACAUUUUGUAAAACAUAUUCUGAUAAGCGAAAAAUGAAAAUUAUGUAAUUAUAAACAGUUUUAAGUGAUAUAAAUUAAGAUAUAAUAAAAUUGAAUUGUUUUCAAUAUAGAUGAGUGAAAGUAGUGAAUCAUGAUAUUCUUUGGUCAAGGGUUUGGCAAAAUAUGUUGUAGUAUUGUAUGUAUUCUUAGGGUUAGAUUUUGGAAAGCUUAAAUGUUUUUUUGAAAAAUUCAAUUUUUACCUACAUGUGAUUAUUUCUGUGUAUAGUAAACACUUUUUAAGUUUAAUUUGAUUUUAUGAAGUGUUUAGAUAGUUAAUUUAGUUUAUGGGUUAUGUUUAGGGUCUAGACGACUAACAUGUAAGUCGUCUCGUGAUUAGAAGACUUCUUCUAACUCCCGCUAAAAAUAUUUUAGUUUCCGGCUAAAAAUAUCGAAGUGUUUCUGGACGACUUACAAGUAAGUCAUCUAGUAAGUCUUCUGAUCAAAAAUAUUUAACCUUAUUGGAAUUUUGCCUCCUUAUAUGAAGAAACAUUUAUACAUUCUCUCUCUUCCUCUCAAAUGGCUGCAACAAAAAUGGUAUGUUCCUCAUUCUAAAGCUCCCCAACCUCUCUCUAAUCUUUUUGAACUUAUAAACACCAAAAUUUAUAUCAAUUUAUUGUUUUUGUCUCAUGUAUUUCUCACUAGUUUAUCUUGUUUUGCAGGUUUUUCAUCACAUGGUUCUCAUCUUCCACUCAUUUAAAGGUAGAUUUAUUAAUUUUAGAUAUGUAUUUUUGUGUGUUCUAUAAAGGUAGAUCUAUCUAAUCUUCCACUUAUUUUCUCUGUUUUAAGCCAUUUGAACGUUUUUAGAGAUGCAAGUUUUUCAGAUCUGGAUUUGGAUAUGCAAGGUUUUCAAAUCUGGAAGACUUCUGGGUUGGAGGACUUCCAGACGACUUCCAGGAAGUCUUCUGAAGGAGUCUUCUCCCAUGUCUCCCUUUCAUAAUAGAUAUGAGCGUUUUGGUAAGUUUGUAUGUCUGAUUUUUCUUCAUUUGGUAACCUCCUGUUGCAUAAAGCUCAUACCUUUUUCCCAAACUAAAACUCUCCAAACCCACUCUAAUCUCUUUGACUUGAAAACACUAAAUUUUAUAUAAAUUUUUCAUUUUUGUCUCAUGUCUUUCUCAUUAAUCUAUCUUUUUGUUGCAGGUUUUAAUCAAAUGCUUCUCAUCUUCCAUUUGGAUAUGUACUUUGUGUAUUCUAUAAAAGUAUGUAUAUAUAAUUUUCCACUCAUUUUCUCUGCUUUUAAGCCAUUUGAACGUUUUUUGAUAUGAUAUGCAGGUUUUUCAGAUCUGGGUUUGAUAUACAUGUUUUUCAGAUCUGGAUCAAACUUUGGAAGACCUAUGGGAAGUCAAUUGCGAAACUAACUUCUGCAUUGACCAGGAGACUUCCAUGUAAGUCGUCUACAGCCAGACGACUUACCCAGAAGUCGUCUGGACGAACAUAUCUGGAAAAAAACUAAUUUCAUAGUUUCAACGAGUGAGAUAACUUGUUUAGCACACAAAAGUAUUCUCCAAGCACCCAGAACCUCAAACAAAAGUGACCCACCAAGAAUCGUAAGUUUCAAUGGCUCUAUAAACCAUAAAAAUUUUAGAAUCAAAAUCUUGGGUUUUUUUUGGAUGAAUAUUGAGAGAAAGUAAAGAGAUGUUUUUAAUUCAUAAGAAUUGAGAAAGAAAGAGUGUAAAUCGAUUUUUAGGUGCAUUAAACGCUUCAAAUUGGUUGUUCAUGGUGGUUGGUGUAUUGAUGACAAUGACAAUAUUGUGAAUACAUGAGGAAGAUGAGAGUGAUAGAGUAAAAUAUGCAUUUUCGUAAAAAAAAAAAAUGAUGACAUUUUCGUGAAUAAUCGGAACUUUGGGGAUGAAAGAGGCAAGUCAAAGUUCUAAAAAAACAUGGGUUAGUUUUGUGUUUGACUUCAAGUUUUGAGUCACAUUUGUAAAAAGCCCAUAUAAUAUUAUUAAAUCUCAUCAAAAAUAUAUUAAGUUUUUAGAAAAUAUAAAGAUAAUUCUAUUAUGAAUAUAAACAAACAAAGUAAUAACAGAUUCUUACUUAUAUAAAAAAUUUAUACAUAUAAAUUAUUAAUUUAUAAUUUUAGUGGGACCAUAUAUUUACAUAGAAUUUUCUAAAAAAAUAUUAUCUUAUUAUUUUAUCAAUUUAUGUCAAAUUUUGAACCGGCCCAAAUUGGGACCGACGAAAUUUAUUAAUUUAUAGAUAUUAUUAAUUUAUCUAGUAUUAAUUUACAAAAAUAAAAGGGUGUGAAAGAUAAUUGUAAAAAGGUACGAUCACCAAACUCAUCCAUAAGGCGUAUGCGCCUUUUUGUUUUAGUUAGAUAAUUGGUUGCAACCAAUUGCAUAUAGUCUCAUUUUUCAUUCCCCCGACCUUAGUCAUAUGUAGCUUUAAGUUUUUUUUUAAACAAAAAAUGGUACUUUUCAGGUUAAUUUUUGGAAAACCAAAACUAAUGGACCUUGUAAAAUAGACAGACAAAAACUGGCAAUUAAAGAUCUGAGAGAACAAAAAUUUAAUGCCAGACAAAAACUAUUCCAUAUGAAGAGACAAAUGACGUCAAUUAACCCAUAUAGAACUCUAAUUUUUCUUCCUAUUGAACUCAUAAUCAACAUAAAAGGAAUAACAAUGAUUGAUGUUGCGGCUUGAAUGAUCAUAAUGGAAAAACAAUAUCACUUUAGAGAUUGAACGAAGGUUAACACAAAAAAAUUAAUUUAUCACCAAAGCAAUGAAUUUACGGAUACUAUAAUCAUGAAGUUAAUUAUAAAAAGGAAGUUACAGAAAAUCAAAGGGUGUGAAAGAUAAUUGUAAAUAUGUAUGAUUGCCAAACUUUUCACUAGUUUUGAGUGUAUAUUUGAGUGGUAAAUUUUGUAACAUCGCAAAUGAAAUAAAACCAAUGUUAGUGUUUCAGUUUCUUCGCCUUUAAUAGGAGGCUGUUUGUUUCAUCAUUUGUCAUCUCCAUCUGAUGAGGACCUCCUAAAAAUUAAAGUUGUCCAAUUGGACAAAAGUCCAUGAAACCCAAAUUAGAUGGGUUUAACCCACUUGAGCAUGGACAGUCCAAUAAACAUAUACAAAUCUAGGAUUUUCUAAUUUUGGGUGUAAAUCACAUUUUACCGCCAAAACCGCAAAUCACGUUUUCUACCAAAACCGCAAAAUCAUGUUUUUUGUCAAAACCGUAAAAUCAUGUUUUUUCACCAAAAACGCAAAAUCCCAUUUUUCUACCAAAAACCAUAAAAAUAAAUUAUUCCCCCAAAUUUGUAAAAUCAUGUCUUCUCGCCAAAACUGCAAAAUCAUGUUUUCCCGCCAAAACCGAAAAAAACAUGUUUUCCCGCUAAAAUCUCAAAAUCAUAUUUUCUCACCAAAACCGCAAAAAUCACGUUUUUCUGUCAAAACCAAAAAAAAAUUUCCCGCCAAAUUUAUAAAAUCAUGUUUCCCGCCAAAAGCGCAAAAAUUAUGUUUUCCCGCUAAAGCCGCAAAAUUACGUUUUUCCAUCAAAACCGAAAAAAAAAAUUCCCACCAAAUUUGUAAAUUGUGUUUUUUUUUUCCAAAACCGUAAAAUUUAUUAAAAUCAUUUUUUUGUCAAAUCGUAAAAUCAUUUUUUUUUUUACAAAACUACGAAGUUACAUUUUUGGUAAAAUCACUAAAAAAUUAUUUGUCUAACAAAAAAAAUAUAAAAUUGAUAUUUUUGAGCUCGGUGGAUAAUCCAUCUCGUUAUGAUCCUAUUUGAGAUUGGUCUUAUUUGGACGGUGUUUAUUUGGGCUUCGACAAUUCAUGUCCAAUAAAUAAGAUUGUCCAACUGGACAAACCCAUUUGGACAUAGACAAUCCAGUUGACAUCCCUAUCAUCGACAUCAUAGCAAAUGCUAAUCCUGAAAACCACCAACCAGAAUCAAUUAUCAAUGAUUACCAAAUGCAAACACUAAGUUAGCAUUUUGGAGUGUACCUUGUUGGAUGAUUGAUUAAAGUACAAGCCCUUUCAUGUGUUGUUUCUAAAACAUGAAUCCUGUAGGAGGCUUGUCUUAUCCGUUACCAUAGAUUAAGAACUGCGACUCUUUCAUGAACCGCUCUGCGGAACCAAGCUGCAACAGUCUCUCCCUCAACAUUGUCGUCACGUCAGGUAAUCCGGACACCCCGGAGAGAACCCGACUAGCGUCUAAGUAUACCUCCGCUGAAGACAUCCUGGAGAGCCACUUUUUUCACCCCGUUUUAAUCGACGGUAGCCAGCGGGAUUCGAACCAUUCUAAAUGAAGUAAUUAUGUGUUUGUUUUGGGGUUUGAUAGCUAAUUGUAAUUAUUUAGUAAUGAAUACUUACACAAAAUCUGUCAAUAAUGAGUAAAAAAUAAUCAACGUGUUUCAACUUUACACGGACGAAAAAAAAACUUAGGCAGUCUAGACGGAAAUUUGGCAGGAAUUAAACGAUCAACGCGGGAAUUAAGUGGUCUUACACGGGUCAACGUCCCGAUUUGGGCAUAUUCGCCGCAGUCAACCUCUGAACAACGCAUAGGCGACUGCGUUUUUGAACAAGGGACAUAACACAUAAGUAUGCAAAGUUUGUUGAGGCUGUAGAUUCACUUAUUUGGUGAGAGAUUUCCUUUUUUUUUUCUGCACCGAAUUAAAACAUAAGUGACACAUAUUCUUAUUUACUUUCAUUGCUUAUGUUCCUAGCAAAAAUACAAAAAUUCCCAAAUCAUAAUUAAUUUUCAAAGUUUUUCAUCUAAUCUUAAUUUAAUAGAAUUGCAAGUUCAGUGAAUUAAGACAAUCUGAAUCUGGAUCAAUGUGCUGAAGGUUGAGCUAACAAUUCACACAUCACUCACUGCCGUUUGAUCAUAAUGAAGUUCAGCUUCAGCCGUCAGUCUUCCCUUAAUCCGAACUAGAGGAGCCAUGCUUUCCAGCAUCAAUCUUUUUUUUUUUUUGAAAUAUAUAUUUUUAUUCAACCCGAAUAAUCGAGAAAUCAGAUCUUGUUACAAAACCACUUUGAACAAAAGUUUCAAAGUCAAACUAUUACAAAACUAGCUUCGUCCGCCCACUAAACCGGAACAUUCCGCUAGCACGUUUUCAAAAUCUUUUGGAAUCGGUUACUGUUCUCUACCUUUGAUGAACACCACGAGAAUGUGAGGUUCUCCUUGUUGCCUCGGAUGCCGGGACUUUCCAUGUUGUCUCCAGAGUAGCUAGUUCCCGAUGAAAUCCACAAAGCUUAUAACCGUCACUGUCUAUGAAAUACUAGACGACCAAUAGGAGAGGGUUUCGAGUACAUACCGCAAGAGGCCUUGCAACCGCCACCAAAUCUGGGCAUGUACACAACACCACAAAGCGCUUGAAACCGAGUCCCAAACCGAGUAAGCACCCGGUACUGCCGUCACCAAACCGAACAGAAAGAAAACAGGCUAAUUUUGCUGACACCACCAAACAAGUAUGCCUCCAUAACCUGCACAAAAGGUCAAGAACACCACACCAGGAGUGUACAAUGACCAAGUGUUGACACUAAGCCGGUCAAUGACUCCCGAGAACCGGUUCGACAAAUGUGGACUUCGAGAACCGAAGACCCAUAACUAAGCUGAUAAACCUCCUAACCGGUGUUGCGGGAAGAGGUACACCAAGAAAAAACUAAAGGCUGAAAUCCGAUACAGAAACCGCUGCUUCCUCACAUAUGAACUUGAAAGGUAGCCGUGGGAGGAGAGAACAAGAUGACGUAGAUCGACAAGAAGCCUACCAACUGGCCAUAAACGACAAUCAAAGCCACUGCUUAUCUAACCACAUGAACCUUGAUAGAAACCUAGAACCAUUCCCGCCUGCGAACCAGAUCUCUAGAUUCGCCUUCAGAGGAAACGACCCAACGAAUCACACCUAACAACAGAGAGAGAGGAACUGUACCACAUCGACACCGGUGAGGCCAAGAGCCAAACACCAUUGAAGGAUGAUUCCUCCACCAGAACCACCACACAGAAUUGCAGAACCGAGAGAAGAAAAAAUUCCGCCUCACCUCGCCUCGACAACGACAACAAAAUUCGGACUAGAUCUGAAGGAAAAAAUCGAUCUGUUCCAUAGAGCCAAAAGCUGACCACCCCCUAGGCCACCGCCUCCUCAGCCUCAACGAGAAUCCAAUCGUAGCAUAGACGUUGCCUAGGACACCCACCACGGGAGCAGUGAAGAUGUCAGUUGAAAACCCUACCCAAGAUCCGCAACAUAUCGACAAAGAGACAAAGAAAUCGGAGAUUAGCAACACAAAAACAAGAGUAAAGGGGAGAGGAGCUUCCCCGCGACGCUCACGCGCUAGCCGGACGCCAGAGCCGAGAAGACCACACACGCGUAAGAGAGAGAGCUAAGGAGAGAGAGACUUUGGGGAGAGAGAAAGGCUUGUGACUAACAUCAUCAAUCUCAUGGUUGGUUUCCGGAAUGAGUGGAUAUUUUCCUGGUUGGAUUAUGUACUAUCUUCUUCUUCUUUUUUUGGACACAAUUAUCUUUUACCAUUUUCCUAAAUUAGAUUAAAUUAUAAAGAAAAUCCAUUUUAGGUGCAUAUGGAUAACAUUUUCAGUUUGAGGACCAUAUCAUUCAUUGUUCCAUUUUUUUUUCAUGCAUAACGAUGAUUUCUUAUUCUUCAUUACUAAUAUGACUUGUGAGCAGAGCAAGCCUUGCCUGAUCUAUUAAUACAUUUGCCUUGAAUCUUCGUGUUUACAAAAUUUUGUUUAAAAGAAAACUUCUACUAAAAAGCCUAAAUUGAAUAAAAGCUACCAAUAUAUUCAAUUUGAUAGGCUAAAUAAAAAAAAUAUUAAAUAUCUUUUUCUUAAAUAAUUUGAUAUUUCAUUUAUUUUUUUAACCGUAUAAAUUAUUUGUACAUUAAAAUUCUUCCAAUUUUUUCGGUUGUGGAUCUUAUUAUCACAUGGUUAUUGAUAAAGUAUUCAUUUAAUGGAAAACACGACUUUGGAAACUUAAAAACAGAGUGUUCAAAAAAAAAAUUCAAAGAAAAGAUCUCUAAAGUAUUCAAUCCACAUCCCUUUUGGUUUGUUCCAAAAUUUAUUUUGUACUAAGCAAUUGUAAAACUAUUGACAUGGAAAAGAUACACACAUAAAAUCUCUUUAAAAAUAGAAACUAUACACAUGUUAGUACGUAUAUGGGAACAACUCCCAUAACCUAGGAAUGUGAGCUAAUACUUGCGGGACUCGUCUAGUUAUAUUCUUUUUUUUUGGUCGAAAAAGGUAGUGUCACCCAGUGCCGGUCCUGAGAUAUUUAUGGUCCUAUACGAAAUACAAAAAAGAGGCCCUUCGAUAACACAUAAAAAAUUUGUCAAUAAAAAUGUUAAAUUUAUGAUUGAAAAUUACAAUAUCUUUAAAACUAGUAAAUUUUUUUUUUAUCAAUUCUUAAAUAUUGGUUUUUUACCUUUUUUUCUACAAAAUCAUCUAUCAAACUUUCAUAAUCAAAUGCUUUUAUCAUAUCUCUUUUAAUCCAUAACAUUGAAGACAAUUAUGUUAAAUUAUUAUAUUUCUUUUAAUCCACUCAUAUUAAAUAACACUAAAGGCUAUAUAAAACUUAGUUGUCUUUUAUUUAGAGAUGGCCCAUCACCUUCUUAACUUAUCGAACCCAAAUAGUUCAUUCCAGCGUGAAUGGAACCCAAAUAGCGGUAGUUACAGUUGCAGCCCUUUUACCACUAGGCCAACUCAACCUUGGUUCGUCUAGUUAUAUUCUUUGCAGGGGGAAGUUGGUAAACAGAUUUCAGAUAUUUAAAAUACGGGUACAAAUGUAUAUUGAUUUUCUUUUAUGUGAGAUGGGUGUAUGUCUGUCAAAUUUAAAUUAUAUAUACCGACUAAUGCGUAAUUUCCUUAAAAAAAUAAAAUUAUUUAACUACAAAAUUUUAUAUUGUUUAUAAAUAGUAUAAUAUAUAUAUAUAUAUAUUGAUUAAAAAUUAAUCUAUUUUUAAAUGUGUUUAUUUAUUUACUAUAUAACUUAUACUAUAUUUUUUUAAUAAAACUUGUUUUUGUUUUAAUUAAUAAUUGCAUGUAUCCUGCAUGUCAUCCAUAAAUUAAAAAAGGAUGAGUGCAAGUGUAAUAUGUACGCUCCAUAGGAAAUUUUGGCGAUUUUCUAGGGUUUGUGAUUUCUCACCGUCGCCGUUGUGGCUUUGAUGAGGCAUCCUGAAGAUGGGGGACUGCAGACAGUGAAGGUGAUAACGCAAGAGAAACAAGUUGGUGUGUAUGCAUCAGUGGUUCAGAAGAAGCAUACUCUCAAGAAAUUUGACGUAAAUCUGACGGUGGUUGAUGGGAAACCAUAAGUCGAGAUACCCGAUGAGAUCUAUGAUAACUCUGAGCCUCUCUGGGAAGAUUUUUUGAUCGGAAAAUUUCUCGAAACAGCUCCACACAUUGCAAAAGUUCACGUCAUCAUAAACAAAAUUUGGAACCAAGGAGAUAAAAACCAGAUAAUUGAGGUCUAUGAAGUGAAUUCAACAGCAAUGAGGUUCAAAAUUCCGAAUCCUCAGAUUCGAUCAAGGGUUCUUGGAAGAGGGAUGUGGAACAUUGCGGAAGUUUCUUUGGUGGUGUCAAAGUGGUCUCCUAUGGUUGAGAAGACAAAAGAAGAGAAAACUUCAAUUCCAAUAUGGGUUUCUCUGAAAAAUGUCCCUAUGAAUAUGUUUUCAUGGGAUGGGUUGAGUUUCAUGACAAGUCCAGUGGGUAGGCCAAUUCGAGUUCAUACAGAGACAACUUCUUGUUCACAAUUUGAUGUAGCUAAGAUCUUUGUUAAUGUUGAUCUGACUAAGGAGCUUCCGAAAUCGAUUAAGUUCUCAAAGAAUGGCAAAGGCUUCCUAGUGGAUUUCAUCUUUCCGUGGUUACCAAUCCGUUGUAAGCUAUGUGAUCAAUGGAGUCACUCGGAGAACAAGUGUGUUAUGAGUAAAAAUGUGGUUGAGGUAGCAGUAGAGAAAGAUGUCUCAGAUAUAUUAAAAGAGGAUGUGGUAGAACAAGAGACAAGGAAAUCAAUAGGAGAAGUGGAGGUUGAAACCGUCUCAGGUUCAGCAUCUGUUCAAAAAAAGGUUAUGCAGGAAGAUGCUGAGAGUGACAAGCUAACUGAAGUAAUUAGUUCUGGAGAUGUUGAGGAGGGUGAUAUAGAAGAGGGGAAAAUCAUCAGUAACUGGGCAAAAGUAUCACUAGAUAACAUUGGCAGAAGUUUAGUGGGUAAAUCACAAGCUCUAUUAUUGGAACAAGGGAAAGUGAUUUCUCCAUCGAGAAUUUCAGUUCUACAAAAAGUUAUGGAAGAGGAGACUCAAACAAAUAAAUAUGCUGUAGAUAUGGAUGGGGAAAACAAGGAUCAGAAUUUGCACUCUGAGGACAAGAUCCACGAUGAUGCAUAAGGAAAAGAUGGUCAUUUGCAAAUGGAGAAUAAAGUUGAUAUUGCAGAUGAGGUAAUUGUAUGUUAUACGCAAAACUGGUGUGGAGAGCAGUACAUCACGUCAACUGUUACCAAGGGAUUCAAUGAGCAAACACAAGUUUCUCACGGUUGCUUCAGCCAAUAUUACGAGGGAUAGCAUCCCAAGUAAUGUCAAAAGAAGCACCCGGAGAUCAAAUCAAUGACUGGGGUUUUUUGGAAUAUGCGCGGAUUCAAUCAAACUACAAAAUAUGCUGCUGUCCGCGAUUGGAUAAACCAAAAUGAUCUGAAAUUUGGAGGUUUGUUGGAGACUAGGUUUAAGGAAAAGAAAGCAGAAGAUAUAGUUGGCAUGGUUUUUCAAGACUGGUCUUUCAUGUCAAAUUAUGAGUUUUAUUCUCUAGGUCGGAUAUGGAUUCUCUGGAGUUCAUCAGUACGUGUUUUCCGGUGUUUAAGAGUGACCAGCUAAUCACUAUUUCAGUUUUGUUGGAGGGUAGAUCAGAGGAGUUCUUUUGACGUUUUUGUCUACACAUCAAACUUUUUGGAAAGUAGGAAAGUCUUAUGGGCUGAUUUGAGAAACCAUCAAGAUUCUCCUAUGUUCAGGAAAAAACCAUGGCUAUUUAUGGGAGAUUUUAAUGAAAUUUUGGAUGGCAGGGAGUACAAAAACUAUACGACCUCGCCAUCAAUACUGGUUGGUAUGAGAGAAUUUCAAGAAGCUGCAAGAUAUUGCUCGAUGAUAGAUAUGAGCUAUCAUGGACCUCUUUUCACAAGGUGUAAUAAACGUGAUGAGGGAAUGGUGUGUAAGAAACUGGAUAGGGUCCUAAUGAACGAUGUGUGGAUGCACCAAUUUCCUCAGGUAUAUUGUGUAUUUGAACCGGGGGGCUGUUCUAAUCAUUUACGAUGUCGCAUUCAGUUUGACGAUGUCAAGGAAAAGAAACAUCGAUCAUUUAAGUUUACAAAUGCAGUGGCGAAGACAUCUCAAUUCAUUCCAGUCGUGGGAGGGUUUUGGAAUGAGACAUAUAAGCUGUUUCACUCGACAUCAGCUAUGCACAGAUUUUCCAAGAAACUCAAAGCUCUAAAGGCACUGCUAAGGAAGCUAAGCAAAGAAAAAUUAGCCAUCUUCCGGUAAGGGUUAAAGAUGCAUAUACUAGACUAUGUGAGAAGCAACAUAUAACUCUUGAUCGACCUUCUCCGGAGAGUGUUAAAGAGGAAGCAUAAGCGUAUGAUAAAUGGAAGAAAUUGGUACUAAUGGAAGAUGAUUUUUAUAAGCAGAAGUCCUAGCUUCACUGGCUGCAAGUUGGUGAUGGCAACAAUAAAGUGUUCCAUAAUGCUGCUAAGAUGAGGGAGGUCCGUAACUCCAUCCCGGAAGUAAAGUGUCCUAAUGGGAUUAUUGCCAACAAUGAUGAAGAUAUAAAAUUGGAGGCUGUCAGAUUUUUUCAGAAAUUUCUUACGCACAAGCCUGAUGACAUUGAAGAUAUUUCAAUAAACAUGCUUCAGGAACUUAUGCAGUUUCAGUGCAAUGACUUGGAGAAAGGUCAGUUGAUUAAGGAAGUGACCAGGGAAGAGAUUAAAAGAACUCUUUUUAAGAUGGAAGCUACAAGUCUCCAGGGUCGGAUGGAUAUACCUUUGAGUUCUUCAAAGAGGCUUGGUCAGUGGUAGGAGAAGAUUUUAUAGUCGCUGAGCAAUCAUUCUUUCUUAAAGGUUUUCUACCUAAAAAGUGUUGAUACCUAAGACGGAGGAUGCUCAGGAAAUAAAGGACUAUAGACCAAUCUUCUGUUGUAACGUCAUGUACAAAGUCAUCUCAAAAAUUCUUGCCAACGGAAUUAAAGGUUUGCUUCCCAAGUUCAUCACCCCAAAUCAGUCUGCUUUCAUUAAAGAGAGGCUAUUGAUGGAGAAUCUUCUUCUAGCAACUGAGCUAGUCAAGAACUACCACAAGGAUGAUCUCUCAGCUAGAUGUGCCAUCCAGAUUAAAAUCUAUAAGGCAUUUGAUUGAGUUCAGUGGCCUUUCCUCUUAAGAGUGUUGGAAGCUUUAGGACUCCCACAUCAGUUUGUUCACUGGAUUUGGUUGUGUAUAACCACUGCCUCUUUCUAUGUACAAGUCAACAGUGAACUUGUAGGCUACUUCCAGAGUGAGCGGGGAUUAAGACAAGGUUGUGCUUUAUCUCCCUAUUUGUUUGUGAUCUGCAUGAAUGUCCUUUCGAAAAUGAUUGACGAAACUGCGGUUCAGAGGAAAAUAGGAUAUCAUCUGAGAUGUCAAAUCAUUCCAAUAACGCAUCCCUGCUUUGCUGAUAAUAUAAUGGUCUUUGUGGACGGACAACAAAGAUAUAGAGAAGGAGUUCUGAGUGUUUUUAAGGAGUUUGGUAAGAUCUCAGGUCUCAGGAUAAGCUUAGAGAAGUCGACAUUGUAUAUGGAAGGAAUAUCACAAGAAGCACAAAACUCUAUCCUCACGGAUUUCCCAUUUUCAGCUGGACAGCUCCCAGUUCGGUAUCUCGGCUUACCAGUCCUAACCAAGAGAAUGACAGUGAACAAUUAUCUGCCACUUAUGGAGAAGAUUCAGACAUGAAUGUGUAAUUGGAAUGGACGCUUCCUUUCGCAGGCAGGCAGGCAGGCUACAACUCAUUAACUCGGUGAUUAUGAGUAUUACAAAUUUUUGGGUGUCUGCUUUCAGGUUACCAAAAGCAUGUUUAAAGGAGAUUGAAAUUUGUAGACCGAAAGUAUCAUGGACAUAAAUUUGUAGACCGAAAGCUGAAGGCGUGUUACAUAUUCGAUCAUUGGUAGAAGCAAACAAUGUCCCAUGUCUGAAGCUAAUUUGGAGAUUGCUCUCAGCAAACCAAUCACUUUGGGUAUAAUGGAUCAAGAUAUAUCUCAUAAGGAAAGGGUCGUUCUGGCCUGUAAGUGAAACAACAAGCGCUGGUUCUUGGAUGUGAGCUAAAUUACUGAAACGGAGAAGAUUGGCAAGAUGUUUUCAUCGAGUUGAAGUUUGCAAUGGAGAAUACAUCUUUUUGGCAUGACACUUGGUCUUCAUUGGGUUGUCUCUCAGAUAUUCUAGAAGAGCGAGGAGUAAUUGAUCUUGGUCUUCAUACUCACGCUACAGUUCAAGAAGCUAUGAUGUCCUACAGAAGAAGAAGGCACAAAACAAUAAUUCUUAAUAUAAUUGAGGAUGAAAUUGACGAGAGGAAAGCAAAUGCGGAUAAUGCAGAGGAUGUUAGCCUGUGGAAAGGUAUUGGAGGAAUGUACAAGAAGAGGUUUUCAACAAAAACCACUUGGAUGCUACUCAGAGAUCAACAACCACUGUGUCAAUGGAGCAAAGGAGUGUGGCUUCGUCAUUCUACACCUAAGUUUGCUUUCAUGACUUGGUGUACUCUGAAAAAUCAACUUGCAACAGGAGACUGCAUGCUUAAAUGGGGAGGAAAUGUUGAUGGGAGUUGUUCUCUCUGUCAAGAUCCUAUUGAAACACGAUACCAUCUUUUUUUCAAGUGACCCUUCUCAGCUGAGGUGUGGAAGAAACUUCUAAGACCAAUUUUAGGAGAUCGAAUACACAAAUUAUUAGCCUGAUAUUAUUGAGUUGAUAUCUGAAAUAGAUGGAGAUAUGCUGAUUUGCUUUAUUAUUAAAUAUCUCUUUCAAGCAACUACUGUCCACAGCAUAUGGAGAAAAAUAAAUAAAAGGAGGCAUGGGGAAGCUCAUUUUACACCAGUGCAGCUAGUUAAAUUCAUUGAUAAAGGAAUCAGAAACCAUUUUAACUCUAUUAUGAUGAUGAGAGACAUGAGAUAUGAAGGUGGCUUAAGAUUAGGGCUGGGCGCAAGGCGAGUACUCGCUAUUUUGCGUGUACUUGCGACUUCACUUGCCUUGUACGAGUAAUAAAAUUUUCGACUUGUACUUGUUAAAAACGAGUACUUGCUAUUUCGAGUACUUGAUUAAAAUGAAUUACUUGCAAGUUACUUGCCCCGCUUUAUUACUUACUAUUUACGAGUACUUGUGAACAAUUACGAGUAUUUGUGAACUAUUUACGAAUUUUUCUAAGUAUUUAAGAACUACUUACUAAAUAAUAAUCUAUUAGAAAUAGACAUGUGAAUUACUUAAAUGAAUAUUUGUUCAAAAUAUGUGAAUAUUUCGAUACAUAAACAUUGUUUAAUUUUUAUGAUGACAAAAAUGUAUUCUAUAUAAACAAGUAACAUGUAAUAGUAACAAGUCAUGUAGCUAAAAUUUUAAAACUUGUUACUAUAUAAUAUUUGAUUAGAUGACAACAAAUAUUUAAAAAUCAAGACAAAUACGAAACAAGUAAUAAGUAUAAGAAGAGUAAUGAGUAUUUGUGUCCAAUUCUAAAUGCAAGUAAAAGAAAAAACAAAUAUGAACAACUAUUUAAUAGAUCAUGUAACAAAUAACAAAUAAUUGGACAAGUAA